CAGCAGCCGCGGUAAUACGUAGGUGGCAAGCGUUGUCCGGAAUUAUUGGGCGUAAAGGGCUCGCAGGCGGUUUCUUAAGUCUGAUGUGAAAGCCCCCGGCUCAACGGGGGAGGGUCAUUGGAAACUGGGAAACUUGAGUGCAGAAGAGGAGAGUGGAAUUCCACGUGUAGCGGUGAAAUGCGUAGAGAUGUGGAGGAACACCAGUGGCGAAGGCGACUCUCUGGUCUGUAACUGACGCUGAGGAGCGAAAGCGUGGGGAGCGAACAGGAUUAGAUACCCGAGUAGUCCCUGUCUCUUAUAC
RNAcentral lists this ribosomal RNA (301 nucleotides) under uncultured bacterium. RNAcentral's name for it is "partial 16S ribosomal RNA". It matches the Rfam family "Bacterial small subunit ribosomal RNA", at positions 509 to 807 of the family's 1533-position model. The record is from RNAcentral.